CAACAUCGGUUACGUUGGGGCGCUAGAUGUAGGGACCUUUCCACGGUUUCUGUGUCGUAGCUAACGCAUUAAGCGCCCCGCCUGGGGAGUACGGCCGCAAGGCUAAAACUCAAAGGAAUUGACGGGGGCCCGCACAAGCGGCGGAGCAUGCGGAUUAAUUCGAUGCAACGCGAAGAACCUUACCAAGGCUUGACAUACACCGGAAACGGCCAGAGAUGGUCGCCCCCUUGUGGUCGGUGUACAGGUGGUGCAUGGUUGUCGUCAGCUCGUGUCGUGAGAUGUUGGGUUAAGUCCCGCAACGAGCGCAACCCUCGUUCUAUGUUGCCAGCGGGUUAUGCCGGGGACUCAUAGGAGACUGCCGGGGUCAACUCGGAGGAAGGUGGGGAUGACGUCAAAUCAUCAUGCCCCUUAUGUCUUGGGCUUCACGCAUGCUACAAUGGCCGGUACAAAGGGCUGCGAUACCGUAAGGUGGAGCGAAUCCCAAAAAGCCGGUCUCAGUUCGGAUUGAGGUCUGCAACUCGACCUCAUGAAGUCGGAGUCGCUAGUAAUCGCAGAUCAGCAACGCUGCGGUGAAUACGUUCCCGGGCCUUGUACACACCGCCCGUCAAGUCAUGAAAGUCGGUAACACCCGAAGCCGGUGGCCUAACCCUUGUGGAAGGAGCCGUCGAAGGUGGGAUCGGUGAUUAGGACUAAGUCGUAACAAAGGUAGCCA
Molecule: ribosomal RNA, 712 nt
Filed under: endophytic bacterium WS3A
Lineage: Bacteria
Description: bacterial SSU rRNA
Rfam family: Bacterial small subunit ribosomal RNA
Source: RNAcentral